CCUACGGGGGGCUGCAGUGAGGAAUAUUGGUCAAUGGCCGUAAGGCUGAACCAGCCAAGUAGCGUGAGGGAAGACUGCCCUAUGGGUUGUAAACCUCUUUUAUGCGGGGAUAAAGGUGUCCACGUGUGGCUGUUUGCAGGUACCGCAUGAAUAAGGACCGGCUAAUUCCGUGCCAGCAGCCGCGGUAAUACGGAAGGUCCGGGCGUUAUCCGGAUUUAUUGGGUUUAAAGGGAGCGUAGGCCGGUCUUUAAGCGUGCCGUGAAAUUUUGUGGCUCAACCAUGAGAGUGCGGCGCGAACUGGAGACCUUGAGUGCGCGGAAGGCAGGCGGAAUUCGUGGUGUAGCGGUGAAAUGCUUAGAUAUCACGAAGAACCCCGAAUGCGAAGGCAGCCUGCCGCAGCGUUACUGACGCUGAAGCUCGAAAGCGCGGGUAUCGAACAGGAUUAGAUACCCGAGUAGUC
RNAcentral lists this ribosomal RNA (460 nucleotides) under uncultured bacterium. Its description in RNAcentral is "partial 16S ribosomal RNA". It matches the Rfam family "Bacterial small subunit ribosomal RNA", at positions 338 to 795 of the family's 1533-position model. The record is from RNAcentral.